This 103-nucleotide microRNA precursor is filed under the name Marmota monax (woodchuck). The record is from RNAcentral. Lineage: Eukaryota; Metazoa; Chordata; Mammalia; Rodentia; Sciuridae.
AGUGGGAUAGCUGGGUCAAAUGGUGGUUUCAUCCCAAGUUUUCCAAGGAAUCUCCAUACUGCUUUCCAGAUUGGCUGCACCAAUUUGCAGUCCCAUCAGCAAU